This 304-nucleotide ribosomal RNA is filed under the name uncultured Pseudomonadota bacterium. RNAcentral describes it as "bacterial SSU rRNA". It matches the Rfam family "Bacterial small subunit ribosomal RNA", at positions 154 to 491 of the family's 1533-position model. The record is from RNAcentral. Lineage: Bacteria; Pseudomonadati; Pseudomonadota.
AAACUUGUGCUAAUACUGGAUAAGUCUUUACGGAGAAAGCUUUAUGCACCAUUGGAUGAGCCUGCACUUGAUUAGUUUGUUGGUGGGGUAAUGGCCUACCAAGACUGUGAUCAAUAGCUGAUUUGAGAGGAUGAUCAGCCACAUUGGGACUGAGACACGGCCCAAACUCCUACGGGAGGCAGCAGUGGGGAAUCUUGCACAAUGGAGGAAACUCUGAUGCAGCGAUGCCGCGUGAGUGAAGAAGGCCUUUGGGUUGUAAAGCUCUUUCGUCGGGGAAGAAAAUGACUGUACCCGAAUAAGAAGG